Molecule: unclassified non-coding RNA, 102 nt
Organism: Otolemur garnettii (small-eared galago)
Lineage: Eukaryota; Metazoa; Chordata; Mammalia; Primates; Galagidae
Rfam family: Y RNA
About the family: Y RNAs are components of the Ro ribonucleoprotein particle (Ro RNP), in association with Ro60 and La proteins.
Source: Ensembl
GGCUGGUCUGAGUGCAAUGGUGUUUACAACUAAUUGAUCAUAACCAGUUAACAGAUUCCUUGUUCCUUCUCCACACCCACUGCUUCACUUGACUAACCUUAA